Molecule: unclassified non-coding RNA, 152 nt
Filed under: uncultured Chaetomiaceae
Lineage: Eukaryota; Fungi; Ascomycota; Sordariomycetes; Sordariales
Description: sequence contains ITS2
Source: RNAcentral
CAACCAUCAAGCCCCCGGGCUUGUGUUGGGGACCUGCGGCUGCCGCAGGCCCUGAAAACCAGUGGCGGGCUCGCUAGUCACUCCGAGCGUAGUAGUUACAUCUCGCUCAGGGCGUGCUGCGGGUUCCGGCCGUUAAACGCCUUUUACCCCAA